AGGCUCAAAAGCUCACAAAAAAUUGUGGUUUUGAUGUAAAACUUGUAAAUUUAAAAUUUCAAGAUAAUAUUUCAAUCCAGGGAGAACCUAAAAUAAUAAUUUCUGCAAAACAACUUAUCAUGCUUGACUCUCUCGUGUCUUAAAGUAUAAAUCAAACAAUUCAAAAAAAAAUCCAUAAAUAAAUCCAAAAAAAGAAUAAAUAAAAACCCC
RNAcentral lists this long non-coding RNA (210 nucleotides) under Gossypium raimondii (Peruvian cotton). RNAcentral describes it as "long non-coding RNA (GRAI_LNC010440)". The record is from RNAcentral. Lineage: Eukaryota; Viridiplantae; Streptophyta; Magnoliopsida; Malvales; Malvaceae.